Molecule: ribosomal RNA, 253 nt
Filed under: uncultured bacterium
Lineage: Bacteria
Description: partial 16S ribosomal RNA
Rfam family: Bacterial small subunit ribosomal RNA
Source: RNAcentral
UACGGGGGGAGCAAGCGUUGUUCGGAUUUACUGGGCGUAAAGGGCGCGUAGGCGGUCAGCACAAGUCAGUUGUGAAAUCUCCGAGCUUAACUCGGAAAGGUCAACUGAUACUGUGCGACUAGAGUGCGGAAGGGGCAACUGGAAUUCUUGGUGUAGCGGUGAAAUGCGUAGAUAUCAAGAGGAACACCUGCGGCGAAGGCGGGUUGCUGGCCGACACUGACGCUGAGGCGCGAAAGCUAGGGGAGCGAACGGG